Molecule: ribosomal RNA, 254 nt
Filed under: uncultured bacterium
Lineage: Bacteria
Description: partial 16S ribosomal RNA
Rfam family: Bacterial small subunit ribosomal RNA
Source: RNAcentral
UACGUAGGGGGCUAGCGUUGUCCGGAAUCAUUGGGCGUAAAGAGCUCGUAGGCGGUUCAGCAAGUCGGCUGUGAAAUUCCGAGGCUCAACCUCGGAACUGCAGUCGAUACUGCUGUGACUCGAGUCCGGUAGAGGAGAAUGGAAUUCCCGGUGUAGCGGUGAAAUGCGCAGAUAUCGGGAGGAACACCAGUAGCGAAGGCGGUUCUCUGGGCCGGUACUGACGCUGAGGAGCGAAAGCGUGGGGAGCAAACAGG